GCGGCGCGCUUAAUGCAUGCAAGUCGAGCGAUGAGGUCUCCUUCGGGGGGCACAUCAGCGGCAGACGGGUGAGUAACACGUAGGUAACCUACCCCAGAGACAGGGAUAACCCUAGGAAACGAGGGCUAAUACCGGAUGACCUCCGGAAGGAGGAAAGGCUCAGGCGCUCUGGGAGGGGCUUGCGGCCCAUCAGCUAGUUGGUAGGGUAAAGGCCUACCAAGGCGAAGACGGGUAGGGGGUGUGAGAGCACGGCCCCCCACAAUGGGACUGAAACACGGCCCAUACUCCUACGGGAGGCAGCAGCAGGGAAUAUUGCACAAUAGGCGAAAGCCUGAUGCAGCGACGCCGCGUGAGUGAAGAAGGCCUUCGGGUCGUAAAGCUCUUUUGUAGGGGAAGAGGAAGGACGGUACCCUAAGAAGAAGCGUCGGCUAACUACGUGCCAGCAGCCGCGGUAAGACGUAGGACGCGAGCGUUAUCCGGAAUUACUGGGCGUAAAGGGCCAGCAGGCGGCUUGGUAAGUUGUGCGUGAAAGCCUCGUGCUCAACGCGAGGAAGCCGGACAAUACUGUCAAGCUAGAGGGCAUCAGAGGGGAGUGGAAUUCCCGGAGUAGCGGUAAAAUGCGCAGAUAUCGGGAGGAACACCGAUGGCGAAGGCAGCUCCCUGGGAUGCACCUGACGCUAAGAGGCGAAAGCUAGGGGAGCGAACAGGAUUAGAGACCCUGGUAGUCCUAGCUGUAAACGCUGGGUGCUAGGUGUGGGACGUAGAAGUUCCGUGCCGGAGCAAACGCGAUAAGCACCCCGCCUGGGAAUUACGGUCGCAAGGCUAAAACUCAAACGAAUUGACGGGGCCCCGCACAAGCAGCGGAGCGUGUGGUUCAAUUCGAUGCUACACGAAGAACCUUACCUGGGUUUGACAUGUACGUGGUACGAAGGCGAAAGCCUAAGGACCCUUCGGGGAGCGUACACAGGUGCUGCAUGGCUGUCGUCAGCUCGUGCCGUGAGGUGUCGGGUUAAGUCCCGUAACGAGCGCAACCCUUGCCCUUAGUUACAAGUGUCUAAGGGGAC
Molecule: ribosomal RNA, 1064 nt
Filed under: uncultured organism
Description: bacterial SSU rRNA
Rfam family: Bacterial small subunit ribosomal RNA
Source: RNAcentral